RNAcentral lists this transfer RNA (106 nucleotides) under Colletotrichum zoysiae. RNAcentral describes it as "tRNA-Val". The record is from RNAcentral. Lineage: Eukaryota; Fungi; Ascomycota; Sordariomycetes; Glomerellales; Glomerellaceae.
GGUUUCGUGGUGUAGUUGGUUAUCACGUCAGUCUAACAGCUCGAGAACGUCACACGACGUCCUCACUGCACACUGAAGGUCUCCAGUUCGAACCUGGACGAAAUCA